Molecule: ribosomal RNA, 435 nt
Filed under: uncultured bacterium
Lineage: Bacteria
Description: partial 16S ribosomal RNA
Rfam family: Bacterial small subunit ribosomal RNA
Source: RNAcentral
AACGAACGCUGGCGGCAUGCCUAACACAUGCAAGUCGAACGAUUGCCUUCGGGUGAUAGUGGCGCACGGGUGCGUAAUGCGUGGGAAUCUGCCCUUAGGUUCGGAAUAACAGCUGGAAACGGCUGCUAAUACCGGAUGAUAUCGCGAGAUCAAAGAUUUAUCGCCUGAGGAUGAGCCCGCGUUGGAUUAGGUAGUUGGUGGGGUAAAGGCCUACCAAGCCGACGAUCCAUAGCUGGUCUGAGAGGAUGAUCAGCCACACUGGGACUGAGACACGGCCCAGACUCCUACGGGAAGCAGCAGUGGGGAAUAUUGGACAAUGGGCGCAAGCCUGAUCCAGCAAUGCCGCGUGAGUGAUGAAGGCCCUAGGGUUGUAAAGCUCUUUUACCCGGGAAGAUAAUGACUGUACCGGGAGAAUAAGCCCCGGCUAACUCCGUG